This 73-nucleotide transfer RNA is filed under the name Planctomycetia bacterium. RNAcentral describes it as "tRNA-Trp". It matches the Rfam family "tRNA". From Rfam's summary of the family: Transfer RNA (tRNA) molecules are approximately 80 nucleotides in length. The record is from RNAcentral. Lineage: Bacteria; Pseudomonadati; Planctomycetota; Planctomycetia.
AGGGGAGUAGCUCAAUUGGCAGAGCACUGGUCUCCAAAACCAACGGUUAAGAGUUCGAAUCCCUUCUCCCCUG